Molecule: long non-coding RNA, 1233 nt
Filed under: Homo sapiens (human)
Lineage: Eukaryota; Metazoa; Chordata; Mammalia; Primates; Hominidae
Description: HSALNT0012890
Source: RNAcentral
UCGGGAGGCUGAGGCAGAAGAAUCGCUUGAACCCAGGAGGCGGAGGUUGCAGUGAGCCGAGAUCGCGCCACUGUACUCCAGCCUGGGCCACACAGUGAGACCCUGUCUCAAAAAAGAAAACAAAAUGAACAGCCUGCAGUCUUCCUAGAAAUGACUGUUUAGGGAGUUGGGAACAGCUUGCCAUGGAGAGAAUUUAAGAUUGUCAUAAUAGGAAAAGGUAAGGAGUAGCGAGGUAGGGGGAAACAUUCAAUAAACAGCAGUCCUUUUCACUCUAAUAGAAAAACCUGUUCUCAGUUUUACCAGCAUAUUUAGAAAGGCACAAAGAGUUCAAUAUUGGAGUUUUCAGAAAGGAAUCUCAAAGUGAUUAUGAGAUGUAAUCAUUCAUCUUUCAUUCAUCAUCCAAAUAGGUACAAAGCACAAUGCCCAAGAUUGUGCUAAGAAUCGAGGUGCAAAAGAUAGGAUUUCUAUGCUAAUGAAACUUCUAGUCUAAUUGGGAAGAUAGACAUUGAACAACUAUUACAAUAAGCGUGACAUUGGUUGCAAAAAGGGAAGUGCCAGGUGCUAUAAAGUGACAGACUGGGGAACUACGGGUUUUGGGCAGUAGAAAAGUAGGAUCUGAAACAAUCUCAAGAAAUUGAUGUUUCAACUUAACUCCAAAAGAUAAGGACGAUUUAUUUGGCAAUGGAAAAGUGAGGGGAAGACAACUCCAGACGGUGGGAAUAGCCUGUCCUCACAACCCUACUAUGAAGUCACACAGGAUUACAUGCUUAAUUAUAUAGCUGGAGAAGUUGCAGAAGAAGAAAGUGACUUGUUCAAGGGACACUGUUUAACAGGGCACUUAAUUAGGACCAUAGGCCGCAUUCCUAACCUUUUUAGGGCAAGGCACACAAUUCUCUUUCUAAGGAAGACUCUCUUUCCUCACCAAAAUAGUAGCUGAGUCAAUCACUCCUAUAGCCCAUCAGGCACAUCAACCAAGCAUGAGCUAUACUGAUAUAAAAGAUAUCAAUUUAUAAUCUGUCCCACAGCUUUCAGGAUGAGAACUAAAGAGCCCUAAAGGUCUCUCAUGUAGGAAGAGGGUGGUGUGUAGUGGCAGAGAGGGAAGCUUCAUCAGUGAGAGCCAAGUGCUAAAAGCAGCUGCGUGUGACAUUUCCGUCAGCAGUCCUUCCUCCCUCAUUGUGUAUGAGACACACAUCAGAUGCUCUGGUUUAUGAUUUCAGCUUCAGAGUACAUACC